GUAUUGGUCAACAGUCACUGUUCCUGUGUAGCUGGAUGUGGAAUGUGCAACCACUUAGUUGCUUUGUUAUAUCAAACAGCCCAUUACUCUGUAAGUGGUAUGUCAGUCGUACCUCCUGUCCUUGCCUGUACACAAACCGAACAGAAGUGGCAUAAACCCCGAUCAUUGGGAGUGAAGCCAGGACCUGUCGACACCAUGGUUGUCAGAAAGGCCAAACCAGGUGCUACCACAGCCAGUGGAAUUAGAUCUAAACUUUACAAGGGCUACAGUGGUGAU
This is a long non-coding RNA of Melanotaenia boesemani (Boeseman's rainbowfish), 276 nucleotides long. RefSeq lists it as uncharacterized. NCBI's taxonomy places the organism in Eukaryota, Metazoa, Chordata, Actinopteri, Atheriniformes, Melanotaeniidae. The transcript has 3 exons. The record is from RefSeq and is a predicted model, not a curated record.